UUCAGCAGCCGUAUCAUGCUGGCAGCCCCCUGGAGCUCUGCAGGUGUGAGGCUGGUCAGUACCUGGAUGGGAGACCUCCUGGGAAAGCUAAGGUUGCUGCUGGAA
RNAcentral lists this ribosomal RNA (105 nucleotides) under Lepisosteus oculatus (spotted gar). Lineage: Eukaryota; Metazoa; Chordata; Actinopteri; Semionotiformes; Lepisosteidae. The record is from RNAcentral.